RNAcentral lists this ribosomal RNA (254 nucleotides) under uncultured bacterium. RNAcentral describes it as "partial 16S ribosomal RNA". It matches the Rfam family "Bacterial small subunit ribosomal RNA", at positions 524 to 777 of the family's 1533-position model. The record is from RNAcentral.
UACGGGGGGGGCAAGCGUUGUUCGGAAUUACUGGGCGUAAAGGGCUCGUAGGCGGCCAACUAAGUCAGACGUGAAAUCCCUCGGCUUAACCGGGGAACUGCGUCUGAUACUGGAUGGCUUGAGGUUGGGAGAGGGAUGCGGAAUUCCAGGUGUAGCGGUGAAAUGCGUAGAUAUCUGGGGGAACACCGGUGGCGAAGGCGGCAUCCUGGACCAAUUCUGACGCUGAGGAGCGAAAGCCAGGGGAGCAAACGGGG